AACCGCCCCCAAUUUUAUGGAUAUCUUCAAAAUUCACCCUUACCCAUCCCCCACCCCUUCAAAAUUUUAUCCUUCCUCAAAACCAACUCUUUCUUCUUUCCUAACACAUACAAAUCCAGCCGACUAUAAUAAGGGGUAACUCUUUCUAUAGUUAACCGCCAACCGGUGAGUAACACCUGGUUAACCUCCCCUUAGGAAGUGGAUAACUCGGUGAAACCUUAGCUAAUACCCUAUAAAACCACCAGCUUAAAAGCUUUUGUUAAAAGGAGAAAUCCACCUAAGGAUGGGCCCCCUGCCUAUCAAGUAGUUUGUAAGGUAAUUGCCUACCAAACCUAUGACGGGUAACCCAGCUGAGAAGCUGGCCCCCCACACGGGGACUGAGACACCGCCCAAACUCCUACGGGAGGCAGCAGGGGGGAAGAUGGGGCAAUGGGCGAAACCUGACCCAGCGACCCCCCGGGGGGAAGAAGGCGCGCGGAGG
RNAcentral lists this ribosomal RNA (481 nucleotides) under uncultured bacterium. Its description in RNAcentral is "partial 16S ribosomal RNA". The stretch from base 100 to 449 matches the Rfam family "Bacterial small subunit ribosomal RNA", at positions 47 to 391 of the family's 1533-position model. The record is from RNAcentral.